Ribosomal RNA from Sinocyclocheilus anshuiensis, 92 nucleotides. Lineage: Eukaryota; Metazoa; Chordata; Actinopteri; Cypriniformes; Cyprinidae. The record is from Ensembl.
UCACACUUAGCCCAAGACUGGUUGCCCACUGAAGCUAAGCAGGGUUGAGCCUGGUCAGUACCUGGAUGGAAGACCUGCUGGGAAAACUAGGU